CCAUCGAGCGUGCCAGAGAGGACCCGGGCUGGGCUUCGGGGCCGGGGGCAGCACCCGGAGGGACCCUGUGGCAAGGGCAUUGGAACGACUGCUCCAUCGAGGCGGGAGAGUUCGAGCGGGCAGCCCAGGUCCUGGCUCGUCAUUACGGGGGGACGAGCACCCCACGCAGCCCGGAGAAGGGUGAGGGUGCCCGGCAAGGCCGGACACAAGCCGCGUGGGAGAGCCCCAGCAGCAGCCUGUGGCGGUCGCAAGUGACAGCGGCGAGACGGUCCCCAGAGACCCCCUGGAACCAAGGAGAUGAAGAUGAAGAGGAGGAGGACGAUGAAGUCAAGGUGUGAAGGGCCAUCCCUCCCAGCACUGCUCCCCCCUCCAAGGACCUUGGUGCUGUGGUCUUCGCCCUCCUCCCCGUGCCCCACCGCCAGGUGGAGGUCAGGCCUUACAGGAGAUCUCCUGGCCUCUGGCUGGGGGCAGUGGGGUGCAGGGGGGGGCAGGAGGAGACCCCAAAUGCCGCCGAGCCCCCCCCAAGGGUUGGCAGGGUGCUGCAGGGACAGGUGAGGGCUGUGCAGCACGGUGCCCCAUGUUGCAGCCCUUCCCCGUCCUCGUUAGGUGCCAAAGGGACAUCCCCACGUGCCAAAGAACCCCCCCGAGCCCCUUUCCACCCCAUCCCGCAUCCCCCCCAGCAAGCAAAUGAUGUGCUCAGGAAAGGGAAUGGCGACAGACAGGGAGCAGAACAAGGGACAGCCCGCGGACACUGAUCCCUUUGCAGCAGGGAGAGGGAGAAACUUCGUGCCCUGCUGGAGGUGAGGCCAUCCAGGCACCAAAUUCUGAAAAAAACCCUUCCCUUCACCCCCCUGGAACAAGGAGACUCCCUCUCUGCAGCCAUUCUUCCCCAUCCUCGCCCCCUCUCCCUGUCCCCAGCGUGCUCACCCCCCCUUCCCAGAGCUCCCAAUGCCAGGGGCACGCGUGGAGGAUGCUCGAUGCCCCUCGCCGAGCAUCCCCGGGUGACCACGGCCACCCUGGGACGAGUGGCCCCCACGCUGCCCCACGUGCAAACCAGCACGCACAGAAGCUCCUUUGUGCUGCCGCGUGGAGCCGAGAUGCUCGGGGGCUGAGGUCACCGCGGGGACCCUCACAGCACCCUCCUUGUUCUCCGGGACGGGCGGGGGUGUGCAUAGUGGGGGGAGAUGACGCCACGUCACGCUCCCACAAGGCAGUGCCAACACGUCCCCAGCUCUGGCCACCAGCACGCGGCAGGGCCACGCAGGAUCAGCCCGUGCCGCCGCUGUGCCGGGGGGGCUGGCUCUCAGGGCGAGCUCCCCCUGCCCUCUGCUUCCCAAAGCGUAACACGAGCUCCAGACCAAAGCCCCAGGUCCGUGGACCAGCCUCUCUGCCUCCACUCUGUACCCCGUGCACUUAUUAUUGUCCUUAUUAAAGCAGUUUUGAUACUAACUUCUCCGGUGCCUCCCUCCCUCCCUCCUUCUCGUCCUCCCUCACCACGUCUGCCGCUCCGGGCCCAGCCACAAAACGCGCUGC
RNAcentral lists this long non-coding RNA (1533 nucleotides) under Anas platyrhynchos platyrhynchos (common mallard). RNAcentral describes it as "lncRNA (ENSAPLG00000018566.1)". Lineage: Eukaryota; Metazoa; Chordata; Aves; Anseriformes; Anatidae. The record is from RNAcentral.